Molecule: ribosomal RNA, 468 nt
Filed under: uncultured bacterium
Lineage: Bacteria
Description: partial 16S ribosomal RNA
Rfam family: Bacterial small subunit ribosomal RNA
Source: RNAcentral
GACGAACGCUGGCGGCGUGCUUAACACAUGCAAGUCGAACGGAAAGGCCCUGCUUAUGUGGGGUGCUCGGGUGGCGAACGGGUGAGUAACACGUGAGUAACCUGCCCUUGACUGUGGGAUAACUUCAGGAAACUGGGGCUAAUACCGGAUAGGAGCUCCUGCUGCAUGAUGGGGGUUGGAAAGCUUCGGCGGUUGGGGAUGGACUCGCGGCUUAUCAGCUUGUUGGUGGGGUAGUGGCAUACGAAGGCUUCGACGGGUAGCCGGCCUGAUAGGCGCACCGGGAACAAGGGUAUUGGGAUAAGACGCUGAAUCCUAGCGGGGGCAACAAGGCGGAAUCUUGCACAAUGGGCUGAGCCGAGAUGCAACCGCGCCGCGCGCGGGAAGCCCGUCUGCGGGUAGUAAUACACUUUCUACUGUGACGGAGCGAGAAUGACGGUAACGGGCAAAGAAGCCCCGGCUAACUUCGUG